AAUGAACGCUGGCGGCAUGCCUAACACAUGCAAGUCGAACGAGACCAUCGGGUCUUGUCGUGCAUGGGUGUGUAGCGGGUGGGGACAUGCCCAUGGGUUUGGCAUAACUCUCCGAAUGGGGUGCUAAUACCGGAUCAUAUCUUCGGACCAAAGAUUUUUUGAGUUUGGUGGGGCCCGCGUUGGAUUCGCUAGUUGUUAGGGUAAUAGCCUACCACGGGGUCGAUAAAUAGCUUGUUAGUGAGGCUGGUCACCCACACUGGGACUGAGACACGGCCCGGACUCCUACGGAAGGCGGGAAAGGGGAAUAUUGGACAGUGGGCGAAGUGCUGAUCCAGCAAGGCCGGGUGAGUGAUGAAGGCCGUAGGGUUGUAAAGCUCUUUUACCCGUGAUGAUAAUGACAGUACCGAAAGAAUAAGCGCCGGCUAACUCCGUG
This 433-nucleotide ribosomal RNA is filed under the name uncultured bacterium. Its description in RNAcentral is "partial 16S ribosomal RNA". It matches the Rfam family "Bacterial small subunit ribosomal RNA", at positions 29 to 507 of the family's 1533-position model. The record is from RNAcentral.